GAUCCUGGCUCAGGAUGAACGCUAGCUACAGGCUUAACACAUGCAAGUCGAGGGGCAGCAUGAACUUAGCUUGCUAAGUUUGAUGGCGACCGGCGCACGGGUGAGUAACACGUAUCCAACCUUCCGUUUACUCAGGGAUAGCCUUUCGAAAGAAAGAUUAAUACCUGAUAGUAUGGUGAGAUUGCAUGAUAACACCAUUUAAAGGAUUUAUUGGUAAACGAUGGGGAUGCGUUCCAUUAGGUAGUAGGCGGGGUAACGGCCCACCUAGCCUGCGAUGGAUAGGGGUUCUGAGAGGAAGGUCCCCCACAUUGGAACUGAGACACGGUCCAAACUCCUACGGGAGGCAGCAGUGAGGAAUAUUGGUCAAUGGGCGAGAGCCUGAACCAGCCAAGUAGCGUGAAGGAUGACUGCCCUAUGGGUUGUAAACUUCUUUUAUAAAGGAAUAAAGUCGGGUAUGGAUACCCGUUUGCAUGUACUUUAUGAAUAAGGAUCGGCUAACUCCGUG
This 505-nucleotide ribosomal RNA is filed under the name uncultured bacterium. Its description in RNAcentral is "bacterial SSU rRNA". It matches the Rfam family "Bacterial small subunit ribosomal RNA", at positions 15 to 507 of the family's 1533-position model. The record is from RNAcentral.